RNAcentral lists this unclassified non-coding RNA (358 nucleotides) under soil metagenome. RNAcentral describes it as "partial contains 5.8S ribosomal RNA, internal transcribed spacer 2, and large subunit ribosomal RNA". The stretch from base 1 to 119 matches the Rfam family "5.8S ribosomal RNA", at positions 35 to 154 of the family's 154-position model. The record is from RNAcentral.
GAUGAAGAACGCAGCGAAAUGCGAUAAGUAAUGCGAAUUGCAGAAUCCGUGAGUCAUCGAAUCUUUGAACGCACAUUGCGCCCUUUGGUAUUCCGAAGGGCAUGCCUGUUCGAGCGUCAUUAUCACCCCUCAAGCCCGGCUUGGUGUUGGACGUCUAGCCAGUCUCUUAGGAGCCGGCUCGCCCCAAAGAUAAUGACGGUGGUCUGUGAAGUCACCAGUACGACGAGCCCCUGGGCAUGUACUGUUCUCGAGUUCCAGCGCCGGUCUCGCUCACGACGUGAGCACUUUUUUUCUGAAAGGUUGACCUCGGAUCAGGUAGGGAUACCCGCUGAACUUAAGCAUAUCAAUAAGCGGAGGA